Molecule: ribosomal RNA, 375 nt
Filed under: uncultured bacterium
Lineage: Bacteria
Description: bacterial SSU rRNA
Rfam family: Bacterial small subunit ribosomal RNA
Source: RNAcentral
AUACGUAGGCAGCGAGCGUUGUUCGGAGUUACUGGGCGUAAAGAGUGCGUAGGCGGUUGGCCAAGUUUGGUGUGAAAUCUCCCGGCUCAACUGGGAGGGUGCGCCGAAAACUGGCCGACUUCGAGUAUGGGAGAGGAAAGUGGAAUUCCUGGUGUAGCGGUGAAAUGCGUAGAUAUCAGGAGGAACACCUGUGGUGUAGACAGCUUUCUGGACCAAAACUGACGCUGAGGCACGAAAGCGUGGGAGCAAACAGGAUUAGAUACCCUGGUAGUCCACGCCCUAAACGAUGCAUGCUUGGUGUGAGCCGUUCAGUCGGUUCGUGCCGGAGCUAACGCGUUAAGCAUGCCGCCUGGGGAGUACGGUCGCAAGGCUGAA